Rosa rugosa (rugosa rose) is the source of this 1338-nucleotide long non-coding RNA. RefSeq lists it as uncharacterized. Lineage: Eukaryota; Viridiplantae; Streptophyta; Magnoliopsida; Rosales; Rosaceae. The transcript is spliced from 2 exons. The record is from RefSeq and is a predicted model, not a curated record.
GACAGAACUAGCUAAUUAACCUUUUUGACUUUGAGAGGUUAUAAUGGGAGUGACUUGGAUCCACUUGAGCUCUAGGAAAUAUCUUAGGGGAAAUUAAUUUGACCACAAUUACAUUUUUGCCUUGGGAGUUUCAUUUUGACUAAUUUAAAUAUAAGUUUAAUAUUGAUAUAGGUGGUUAUCUCAAAUUCUCAAAAUGGUUGCAUUGCAGCUGGGGGGGCUGAUUAGAAACAGCGAUGGAGACUGGGUUUGUAGUUUUUUGACUUUUUUCUGCCAAUCUUUGUGUAGGAGAAAUAUUUAUAGCUGAACUAUGGACUUUGUGUAUUGGUUUGAAAAUGGCUUUAGGACGAAAUGCUACCCAUGUUAUGGUUGAGUUUGAUUCUUCCCUUGUGGUUAAUCUCUAUUAAUAAAGCGAGCAGCCGUUUACUGUUCAUCUUGGGGAAACUUUCGAACUUCCGAAAUUGACCUUGGUUUGGCUAACGUGAAAGGCAGCAAGGAGGGUUAGCAAAGUAAAUGCAGAAAAAAGGAGAGGAGGCGGAUAGAUCAAGGCCCGGGUUGUGCCGACGGGAGGAAAGAGGAUGUAGAGGAGGGAAAGGAAAAGAAGAUGAAGAGGAAGAGUCUGGAUUUUGAUUCGCUUUGAUCGAAAUUACCCGACACAAGGUUGGGUUGAGUAAUUCUGGGUUUUGUGUAUUGGAGAUUGAUGAUUAAGGUUUUUGAUGGGAGAGAUUAUUAGGUGAAAGAGUGAUUGAGGAGCGAAAAAAACCGAAAUUCUUGCAAGGAUUCGCUUAACGAGCUUGAAGCUAAUAUUCAGUUUGAAAAUACUUUGCUAUAAUUAAAAAGUUGGUACAUGAAAAGCAAUGGGAUAGGCAAGAAAUGGAUGAUUGAUGAAGCAACUUUCAGACCAGAGUCGAACCAAAGCUGUUGUCCAGUUGGCUUGGGAUGACCUAGAAGGUGAAAGGAAGUUGAGAAAGCAUUCAGCCGCACUUCCGCACGCGCGAUAGCGCGUGCAGGAAGGCUAGUUCAGUUAAAGGGAAGUGGGAUGAUAUCCAUUCUCUCCAUGGCAUCAUCAAAGUUUGCAAAGCUCUUUGGUUGAGGAAUUUGAAUUGCACGAUAAUGCAUAUCUACCGAGAAUGUAACAUGUCUGCAGAUGAUUUAGUACAGGGUGGACAUACUUUAAAUUUGGGACAACACUUUUUUGAGGAACCGCCUGAUUGUAUCAAUGGAAGACUCUAAGAAGAUAAAGAGGGUUUUCUGAGGCCGAGAUUUUUCUUACCUAGUUAGUGUUUCCCUCCUUGUAACCAAAAAAUAAAAAUAAAAAUAAAAGUAUUUUAUAAAAACGAA